GGAGCGGUGGCCGAGCGGUCGAAGGCAACGGUUUGCUAAACCGUCGUACCCCUAAAGGGUACCGGGGGUUCGAAUCCCCCCUGCUCCG
RNAcentral lists this transfer RNA (88 nucleotides) under Spirochaetaceae bacterium. RNAcentral's name for it is "tRNA-Ser". It matches the Rfam family "tRNA". Rfam says of the family: Transfer RNA (tRNA) molecules are approximately 80 nucleotides in length. The record is from RNAcentral. Lineage: Bacteria; Pseudomonadati; Spirochaetota; Spirochaetia; Spirochaetales; Spirochaetaceae.